GCCACUGUAUGUAAAAAAUGCUGAGUGAUUUUAAUAAAGAAUUUGCAGGGAAGUACAAUGUGUCGCACCUUGUUGACUCUUUUACAGAUGUGUGGAAACGUCGUAGCGGAUGAACGUGAAUUAUGGAUCUCCAAGUGGCGUCGCCCGCGUCAUUUUCAAGAUUUUACCCGUUUUGAAGGCAAUAGGGCUGUUGAUAGGGAGAAUGCUAGGCUACUGCAGACUGCAACCAUAGGCGCUGUGUCUAAAGGUUAAGCUCACAUGACGCGGCAGGGAAGGGAGUCCGUGGCGAAAAGUGAAUAUAGCCGAAGUUGGAUAGCGUUAAUUUUUGCGCACGAAAGGCAAGCUGGACACAUCGCAAAUCUCCAGUUGUACGAAACACAGUGCAGCAUGGUCGUCGGUUAUGCCAGUGCUUCAACAUAUGUUUCAGCGUCGCACUUCGGACAUUGCGGGCAUAUACCUUUAAGUUUUUCCCCUUGUGGACCGAUGCUGUGUGUGUUCAUGGACAUCAUGUUUUCAAAGACAUGUAAGUUCUCAAUAAUAAUGCGAAAAAAAUGC
Long non-coding RNA from Ornithodoros turicata, 555 nucleotides. RefSeq lists it as uncharacterized. NCBI's taxonomy places the organism in Eukaryota, Metazoa, Arthropoda, Arachnida, Ixodida, Argasidae. The record is from RefSeq and is a predicted model, not a curated record. The transcript has 3 exons.